Long non-coding RNA from Physeter macrocephalus (sperm whale), 1657 nucleotides. RefSeq lists it as uncharacterized. The record is from RefSeq and is a predicted model, not a curated record. The transcript has 3 exons. NCBI's taxonomy places the organism in Eukaryota, Metazoa, Chordata, Mammalia, Artiodactyla, Physeteridae.
AUAAGAGGAAGCAAAGGUAAGAAAAGUUUAAGAACUGUUGUUAAAACAGCACAGCAGCAACCAGUCAGAAUAACCCAGUUGCAGUGGCACCAGCCACAGGUAGUCGGUUCAGUGCAUACUGGCUGCCCUGAGUGUAGGUAACACAAAAUAUAAUAUUUUAAAUACCCAAAGGGAAAUGUAAACAAGAGGGAGCAGAGAGAAAAGAACGCUUUUAUAAUUCCAAAUUCAUGUUUCCCUUAUAGAGGGAAGAGAAUCAGUCUGGUUGGUUGCAUCCAUUCUUCAUGCCGUCCAAUACGCACCCUUUCAGGUGAAUGCAGUCCUUCUUACCAAAAAGGUGGACUCUGUUUCCUUACCCCGUGGAUCAGGGAAGGCCUUUUGACUUGCUUUGGCAAAUAGAAUGUGGCAGAAGUAAUGAUGUGCCAGUUCCAAGCUUAGGCUGUAAAAUGCCUCGAGUAACUCUGCUUGUUCUUGCUCCUCUGCCAUCGCUAUGACGUGAUGCCCAAGACAGCCUGCAGGAGGAUGAGAGACCACAGACAGAGCCAAGUUGCCCCGGUUGUCCCAGACGCGGCCAUCCAAGACGCGGCCAGCCAGCCAACACCUAUAUCAGGGUUCCUUAACAGAGGCACUGUUGACCUUUGGAGCUGGCCAAAGAAGCAGCUGCCCUCUGCAUAUGUACCACAGCGGGAAACAUUUCUUGAUGAAGGCAUUUCAUUUAAUGAAAAAUCCGUAUCGGUUUUAUGCAGGAGGUAUAGUAGUGUUCAGUGAAGACCCGAGUGAUGAGCAAAGGAACAGUAGGUGAUGCCUGGAACCACUGCAGCCAUCUUGCUACCAACCUGAGAAUGAAGUCAGUACUGGCUGAGCUGUGGAGUCAUCCAGCUCUGGAGCUCACCUCCAGAGCUGGAUGAGAUAAUAUAAUAUCCUUAUUAUUUGAGGCCAGUUUGUUUGUUUGUUUGUUUGUUUGUUUCAUUUACGGCUGAAAGUACCUUAACCAAUAGAGAUUUGCUAAUGCCCUUCCUACAGCCCUUCUCAGAAUACAUUAUAUGGAUUUACACUUAGUGUUUUCCAGUAAUAUUUAGCCUAAUGGACUCCCAAGUUACUGAAAUGAUUUAGAACAUUAAAAUAGAAAUGUGGUUACAUUAAAUUUCCUUAUAUUAUAUCUGCAGUUUUGCAUACAUGAAAGGACUGUGAUAAUUUUGUGUGUUUAAAGAGCUGGAAGGACCCUGUAGACAAUAUUAAUUUAUUCUAAUGAUCAUACCCUGCUUUUUAAGUUAGCAGCAUCUGAACUGACAAUAGUAGAAAAGAAAAGGUAAUUUUAAGAUACAAACCUAUACUGACAAAGGAAUAAUCUCCAAAAUUUACAAGCAGCUCAGUAUCAAAAAAACAAACAACCCAAUCCAAAAAUGGGCAGAAGACCUAAAUAGACAUUUCUCUAAAGAAGACAUACAGAUUGCCAACAAACACAUGAAAGAAUGCUCAACAUCACUAAUCAUUAGAGAAAUGCAAAUCAAAACUACAAUGAGGUAUCACCUUACAGCAGUCAGAAUGGCCAUCAUCAAAAAACCUACAAACAUUAAAUGCUGGAGAGGGUGUGGAGAAAAGGGAACCCUCUUGCACUGUUGGUGGGAGUGUAAAUUGAUACAGCCACUGUGGAGAACAG